This 494-nucleotide ribosomal RNA is filed under the name uncultured bacterium. Its description in RNAcentral is "partial 16S ribosomal RNA". It matches the Rfam family "Bacterial small subunit ribosomal RNA", at positions 28 to 507 of the family's 1533-position model. The record is from RNAcentral.
GACGAACGCUGGCGGCGUACUUAACACAUGCAAGUCGAACGGUGAAGCGCCUUCCUUUUUGGUGGGUGUGGAUGAGUGGCGAACGGGUGAGUAACACGUGAGUAACCUGCCCCCUUCUUCUGGAUAACCGCAUGAAAGUGUGGCUAAUACGGGAUAUUCUGGGUCUGUCGCAUGAUGGGUCUGGGAAAGAUAUUGUUUCGGUGGGGGAUGGGCUCGCGGCCUAUCAGCUUGUUGGUGGGGUGAUGGCCUACCAAGGCGGUGACGGGUAGCCGGCCUGAGAGGGUGGACGGUCACACUGGGACUGAGACACGGCCCAGACUCCUACGGGAGGCAGCAGUGGGGAAUAUUGCACAAUGGGCGCAAGCCUGAUGCAGCGACGCCGCGUGAGGGAUGGAGGCCUUCGGGUUGUGAACCUCUUUCGCCAGUGAAGCAGGCCUGCCUCGUUUGUGGGUGGGUUGACGGUAGCUGGAUAAGAAGCGCCGGCUAACUACGUG